Camelina sativa (false flax) is the source of this 1428-nucleotide non-coding RNA. The record is from RefSeq and is a predicted model, not a curated record. Lineage: Eukaryota; Viridiplantae; Streptophyta; Magnoliopsida; Brassicales; Brassicaceae.
CACGUGAGAUCUUGGUCUCCAAACCCACUAGUUCACCGUUCUCCUCAGUAUCCUCUUCCCCGGAGCCACCGUCCUCAGAGAGUAGCACCGUCGAACAGCCCGGAACAACAAUCUCCGUCGACUGUUCUGCUCUCUAUAAUCCUCCCGGUUGGACAAUGUUUCUCAAGGACCAGUUACCGUGGAAUGUGAUGAUUCCAGCUGAAAACAUGGACGCAAAAGGGCUGAUUCUAAAGAGGGCUAUACUAAUAGAGUUACCAGACGCAUUUGGACUCUGCUGAUAACUUUACUAUGAAUUAUCAGAACACUUGGCGAUUAGGCUGCUUAAUGAGAGGCUUCAGGAUCCAACGAUGCAGGAAUCACUUGAAUCUAUCUUCCCUAAAGAUAAUCCAAAGAACACGAGGUUUGCAAUCAACUUCUUUACAUCCAUUGGUCUUGGAGGCAUCACAGAGAACCUGAGAGAGUAUCUGAAGAACAUGCCACGCCUGAUCAUGCAACAGCAGAAGCAAGUUGCGGAAUCAGAAUCAGGAUCAUCAUCUGGAUCUGACAGUUCUGGUUCCGACUCUGAAUCUGAGUCAGAAUCAUCCUCUUCUUCUAGUUCGGAUGAAAGCGACAGAGAGAAGAGGAAGCGAAGAAGAAGAGCUUGAGACCUGUGUUUGGUUUGUUAUCUCCACCAAAAAAUUUCACAUCUCCGACUAAUAUAUUAAUGAAAAGGACCUUGAAGAUAUGUUAGAAGAUAGAACCAAAUCGCUGGCAGCUGUUCAGGCUAUGGAGCUUGCCAAAGAGCGUGAAAAAUCAAGAGAUCUGCAGCUAUCUCUACAGGUUGAAACGAAGCGAGUUAGAAGCUGCUUUAGAAGAGAGCAGGAAGCCAACCAGUAGCAAAGUAUUCCGGGACGCCACAGAGCUGAAAAAGGAUUUCACCAACAAUGCUGAAUCUGCUGUUGCUUCCUUAAGAGGAUUGUCAGCUAAUAAAACCUCUAGUCGAGCGGAUCUCACACUUCUCUUCCGUGCUGCGGCUCAGGAAGCCAAAAUUUCUAGAGCACAAAAUCGAAUUUUCAGGGUGAUUCUCAUAUACUGCAGGUCAUCAAUGAGACCAACACAUGGUUGACCCUUAAACCAGAAGCUCUUCACAUUGGAUGCUAUGUAUCUGCAUGAUAAGCCAAGUCCUGAUAAUUGUCCUCAAGAUGUGUAUGACUCUCUCGUCGAUGCUGUAGAACUUGUUUCAGAUGAUCUUGACAUCCCCAGGUCUCUUGCGAAGAAGGUGCCUGUGACUGAGGCGACAAAUGCUGUAGAUCAUCACAAUGGGAACAAUAUUCAGAUCAUAAGCUAAAGAAAACACUGUUUUUUUUUUCUUGUAUUUUGUUUAUGAUAUGGUUGUAAGUUUCGCAUGUGAAAAAUACUCAAAACUAGUGACAACUUGUUCUAGACUCA